GCCACAUGAUGUGAUUUUAGAUGGCAUUAGCACUCUGUGCAAAGAUGACCUCCUAUCUAUCACCCAAGACUGAUGGCU
This is a small nucleolar RNA of Neoarius graeffei (lesser salmon catfish), 78 nucleotides long. RefSeq annotates it as small nucleolar RNA SNORD83. Lineage: Eukaryota; Metazoa; Chordata; Actinopteri; Siluriformes; Ariidae. The transcript has a single exon. The record is from RefSeq and is a predicted model, not a curated record.